RNAcentral lists this transfer RNA (77 nucleotides) under Methylobrevis pamukkalensis. RNAcentral's name for it is "tRNA-Ile". It matches the Rfam family "tRNA". Rfam says of the family: Transfer RNA (tRNA) molecules are approximately 80 nucleotides in length. Their secondary structure includes four short double-helical elements and three loops (D, anti-codon, and T loops). Lineage: Bacteria; Pseudomonadati; Pseudomonadota; Alphaproteobacteria; Hyphomicrobiales; Pleomorphomonadaceae. The record is from RNAcentral. RNAcentral also lists the same sequence under 2 other names.
GGGCAUGUAGCUCAGGUGGUUAGAGCACACGCCUGAUAAGCGUGAGGUCAGUGGUUCGAGUCCACUCAUGCCCACCA